UGUGUGUGUGUGUGUGUGUGUGUGUGUGUCAAUUAGGAGGUCCAGCGCCACCAGGCCACCUUCAUACGGUCCCAGACAGCGCCUAGAGAGUCGUAGGCAGGGCGUACAUCCAGGAUGGAGAACUGGUAGUUGUCCUUGUUGAUCUCGCC
Etheostoma cragini (Arkansas darter) is the source of this 149-nucleotide long non-coding RNA. RefSeq lists it as uncharacterized. Lineage: Eukaryota; Metazoa; Chordata; Actinopteri; Perciformes; Percidae. The transcript is spliced from 3 exons. The record is from RefSeq and is a predicted model, not a curated record.